AUACUUACCUGGCAGGAGAAAUACCAUGAUCACAAAGAUACUUUUCCCAUGCCAGGGCUUAUCUACUAUACUCCAGAUGUGCUGACCUCUCCUAUUUCCCCAAAUGUGGGAAAUAUGACUCUGAUUUGUGGUUGUAGAGGACUGUGUUGAUGCUUGCCCCUU
Small nuclear RNA from Cricetulus griseus (Chinese hamster), 162 nucleotides. Its record names the gene U1. It matches the Rfam family "U1 spliceosomal RNA". Rfam says of the family: U1 is a small nuclear RNA (snRNA) component of the spliceosome (involved in pre-mRNA splicing). Its 5' end forms complementary base pairs with the 5' splice junction, thus defining the 5' donor site of an intron. Lineage: Eukaryota; Metazoa; Chordata; Mammalia; Rodentia; Cricetidae. The record is from Ensembl.